This 879-nucleotide ribosomal RNA is filed under the name Streptococcus pneumoniae K2557. Its description in RNAcentral is "bacterial LSU rRNA". It matches the Rfam family "Bacterial large subunit ribosomal RNA", at positions 1 to 883 of the family's 2925-position model. The record is from RNAcentral. Lineage: Bacteria; Bacillati; Bacillota; Bacilli; Lactobacillales; Streptococcaceae.
AUAAGGUUAAGUUAAUAAGGGCGCACGGUGGAUGCCUUGGCCACUAGGAGCCGACGAAGGACGUGACAAACGACGAUAUGCCUUGGGUAGCUGUAAGUAAGCGAUGAUCCAGGGAUUUCCGAAUGGGGGAACCCAACAGGUAAUACCUGUUACCUACAUCUGUUAAGGAUGUGAGGAGGAAGACGCAGUGAACUGAAACAUCUAAGUAGCUGCAGGAAGAGAAAGCAAAAGCGAUUGCCUUAGUAGCGGCGAGCGAAACGGCAGAAGGGCAAACCGAAGAGUUUACUCUUCGGGGUUGUAGGACUGCAAUGUGGACUCAAAGAUUAUAGAAGAAUGAUUUGGGAAGAUCAGCCAAAGAGAGUAAUAGCCUCGUAUUUAAAAUAGUCUUUGUACUUAGCAGUAUCCUGAGUACGGCGGGACACGUGAAAUCCCGUCGGAAUCUGGGAGGACCAUCUCCCAACCCUAAAUACUCCCUAGUGACCGAUAGUGAACCAGUACCGUGAGGGAAAGGUGAAAAGCACCCCGGGAGGGGAGUGAAAUAGAACCUGAAACCGUGUGCCUACAACAAGUUCGAGCCCGUUAAUGGGUGAGAGCGUGCCUUUUGUAGAAUGAACCGGCGAGUUACGUUAUGAUGCGAGGUUAAGUUGAAGAGACGGAGCCGUAGGGAAAACCGAGUCUGAAUAGGGCGCCUUAGUAUCAUGACGUAGACCCGAAACCAUGUGACCUACCCAUGAGCAGGUUGAAGGUGCGGUAAGGACGCACUGGAGGACCGAACCAGGGCACGUUGAAAAGUGCUUGGAUGACUUGUGGGUAGCGGAGAAAUUCCAAACGAACUUGGAGAUAGCUGGUUCUCUCCGAAAUAGCUUUAGGGCUAGCGUC